UGGAGGGGAGAUCAAAGCAGGAAAGGGAGCAAAGUUCUCUGGGCAGGGAGGUCUGGGAAAGACCCUGACUAACCAGCAAAGUGCGUAGGAGACUUAGAGGGGAACUUGAGAAGAGAGGUGGGAAGUGGCUCAAGGAAAACUACAGCAAAGACAAAGGUGCAGACCUAGCUGUUUGGUACAGGGCCUAGGCUGGAACCUAGAGUCAAGGAUAGGACUGGGUUCCCUUACUGGCCCCUAGGAAGGGGCCUACAAACCCCUAGAAAGGCUUGUUGAGGCCAGCAAGGGGGCUGCAGGCUGAACUGAGGAUAGACUAAGGAAGAGCCCCAGACAGGGUAGAAGGCCUUCUUUCUGCUAAAGAAACUUUUAGUUUGGGCCAAUGGCAUCCCCAAAGUAGUAGACUAAAGCUGAUGACCCGGACAGAGGGCUGAGUCAUCAGGCAGAGAAAUCAGUGUAGCACUGAAGUGAUCAUCGGUGGGUGACACUAGCCCAGUGAGAGAACUGCAAUGCCCUGGGGGGUUCGUGGCGUCUCAGAGGAGAAGGUGGCAGGGAACUGUGCAGCCUGGAAAUAACCUGGUCAAGAGGGAAAGGGACGAGGGUCUCCACCCAAGAGAGAUGAUGACUGAGGAGCUGAGAGCCUAAGGAAAUAGUCACCGCAUCAUUCCUCAGAGGCCCUUCAGCAAGGAUAACUCUGAAACCAGAAGUUUUUGAUGACCACGAAGGCAUAUUCGGAGAACAAGACAUUAUGGUGUCAUUUUUGGAGGCUGAGCUUGGAAUUUCAUGGAGUUUUCAUCAUUUAAAAGGAUUUUUAUAUAACAGCAGUUUCUGCAGAGACCUGUCAGAAUGGGAAGUACCUUCAGAACAAGUUAGCACUGGAGUGAGAGGAGACAUUGCUUCUGACUAAAGUUGUGGAGGGACACAAAUGGCAAAGCAUGGAUGUCCCACUCUUGAUCUUAUUUUGAGACAGACACACACCCAGCCAGUCUUCUCCAUAACACCACUAGCAGAUCAUUUCAAGGGCACAGGAUGGCCUCUCCUGUAUACCUUAGUACCUUUCACGGGAAAAGGAAUUUCCUGGGGCAUGGACACAAGAUGAUCACCCAAGCUGCUAGUAUGUUGCACCUGUGGCACCUUUAUGGUUUGUAUUCCAUCUCUGAAAGUAGGAGAGCCUCCGGGAGAAAGUAGGAUUUGUUGGGAAAGGAUUUGGAUGAUGCUGUCCAGAUUUCAGACAUCUUCAUUCUCCUGAUGCUGUCUGUAGGGUUCUUCAUCUAAAUUCAGCUUCAUGAUUUUAUACUCUGGCUGAUGGUGUAAGAAGCAGGCAGAGCCCAGAGAGACUUUUCAAAUCCCAGCUGGAGUUUCCAGGACUAUGUGUUAGAAAAAUCAA
This is a long non-coding RNA of Mauremys mutica (yellowpond turtle), 1381 nucleotides long. RefSeq lists it as uncharacterized. The record is from RefSeq and is a predicted model, not a curated record. Lineage: Eukaryota; Metazoa; Chordata; Testudines; Geoemydidae. The transcript is spliced from 4 exons.